Molecule: ribosomal RNA, 243 nt
Filed under: uncultured bacterium
Lineage: Bacteria
Description: partial 16S ribosomal RNA
Rfam family: Bacterial small subunit ribosomal RNA
Source: RNAcentral
UAGGGGGCAAGCGUUAUCCGGUAUUAUUGGGCGUAAAGAGUGCGUAGGUGGUUACUUAAGCGCGGGGUUUAAGGCAAUGGCUCAACCAUUGUUCGCCCUGCGAACUGGGUUACUUGAGUGCAGGAGAGGAAAGCGGAAUUCCUAGUGUAGCGGUGAAAUGCGUAGAUAUUAGGAGGAACACCAGUGGCGAAGGCGGCUUUCUGGACUGUUACUGACACUGAGGCACGAAAGUGUGGGGAGCAA